This 613-nucleotide long non-coding RNA is filed under the name Theobroma cacao (cacao). RNAcentral describes it as "long non-coding RNA (TCAC_LNC004954)". The record is from RNAcentral. Lineage: Eukaryota; Viridiplantae; Streptophyta; Magnoliopsida; Malvales; Malvaceae.
CCAUAAUCGCCUAAUUUUGGGUACCAUCACUUAUAUAUACACCCCUAUCAUACAACAUCCUUCCAUCGCAUCCCAAUCCACCCUAAUUAGCAUCACAUUGCCAUAUUUCCUUCUGCUCUCUUUUUUAAGCAUACUCAACCAACCACCACUCCAAAAUGGCUGAGGAGAAGCAACACCACCACCUCUUCCACCACCACAAGGAGGAUGAAAAGCCUGUUGACACCUCUGUCUACUCUGAAACUGCUUACUCUGGUGAUAUCUCGGCUGGUUAUGGAGCUGGCCUGGCUGAAACGGGAGUGGAUUACAAGAAGGAAAUGGAAGUGGAUUACAAGAAGGAAGAAAAGCACCACAAGCACCUCGAGCACGCUGGGGAGCUAGGGGCUGCCGCAGCUGGUGCUUUUGCACUGGUAAUGUUUUCUCACGAGUUCAUUUUCUCAUCACUUAAUUAAUUAAGUUAUGCUUAAUUAGCAGUAACAUCUAACCCUUUUAUAGAGCAUCUUCUCUUUGUUAUUGGGGUGUUAGUACGUACAAAAAUAUAACCCUUUUGAUGGCUUUUGGUCAAUCAAUUAAUAAUAGUUACAAUUUUAAAUGUAUACUUCAGCAUGAGAAGCAC